AUUGAACGCUGGCGGCAGGCCUAACACAUGCAAGUCGAGCGGAGCAGCAGACGGGUGAGUACGACCUAGGAAUCUGCCUGGUACUGGGGGAUAAGGUACGGUAACGGGCGCUAAUACCACAUACUAUCAGAAGAGCCUAGGUCGGAUUAGCUAGUUGUUGGGGUAAAGGCAUACCAAGGCGACGAUCCCUAACUGGUCUGAGAGGAUGAGCAGUCACACUGGAACUGAGACACGGUCCAGACUCCUACGGGAGGCAGCAGUGGGGAAUAUUGGACAAUGGGGGAAAGCCUGACGCAGCCAUGCCGCGUGUGUGAAGAAGGUCUUCGGAUUGUAAAGCUCUUUAAGUUGGGAGGCGUUACCAACAGAAUAAGCACCGGCUAACUCCGUGCCAGCAGCCGCGGUAAUAC
RNAcentral lists this ribosomal RNA (407 nucleotides) under uncultured bacterium. RNAcentral's name for it is "partial 16S ribosomal RNA". It matches the Rfam family "Bacterial small subunit ribosomal RNA", at positions 30 to 526 of the family's 1533-position model. The record is from RNAcentral.